GAUGAAUGCUGGCGGCGUGCCUAACACAUGCAAGUCGAGCGGCAGCGAGUUUUACACUGAAUUCUGGAAGCUUCUGGGUAAUAUAGAAGAUCUAUUCAAGAAUUUUGUGUAAAAUGUCGGCGAGCGGCGGACGGCUGAGUAACGCGUAGGAAUUUGCCCCAAAGUGAGGAAUAACUGCCCGAAAGGGUAGCUAAUGCCGCAUACGGUCUUCGGAUUAAAGCCUUCGGGCGCUUUGGGAGAAGCCUGCGUUGGAUUAGGUAGUUGGUAGGGUAAUGGCCUACCAAGCCGACGAUCCAUAGCUGGUCUGAGAGGAUGAUCAGCCAGACUGGAACUGAGACACGGUCCAGACUCCUACGGGAGGCAGCAGUGAGGAAUCUUCCACAAUGGGCGAAAGCCUGAUGGAGCAACGCCGCGUGAAGGAUGAAGGCCUUCGGGUUGUAAACUUCUUUUAUGAGUGAAGAAUAUGACGGUAACUCAUGAAUAAGCACCGGCUAACUACGUGCCAGCAGCCGCGGUCAUACGUAGGGUGCAAGCAUUAUCCGGAGUGACUGGGCGUAAAGAGUUGCGUAGGCGGUUUAAUAAGUGAAUAGUGAAACCUGGUGGCUCAACCAUACAGACUAUUAUUCAAACUGUUAAACUCGAGAAUGGUAGAGGUAACUGGAAUUUCUAGUGUAGGAGUGAAAUCCGUAGAUAUUAGAAGGAACACCGAUGGCGUAGGCAGGUUACUGGGCCAUUUCUGACGCUAAGGCACGAAAGCGUGGGGAGCGAACCGG
Molecule: ribosomal RNA, 773 nt
Filed under: uncultured Candidatus Saccharibacteria bacterium
Lineage: Bacteria; Candidatus Saccharimonadota
Description: bacterial SSU rRNA
Rfam family: Bacterial small subunit ribosomal RNA
Source: RNAcentral